RNAcentral lists this long non-coding RNA (224 nucleotides) under Prunus persica (peach). RNAcentral describes it as "long non-coding RNA (PPER_LNC006502)". The record is from RNAcentral. Lineage: Eukaryota; Viridiplantae; Streptophyta; Magnoliopsida; Rosales; Rosaceae.
AACGGAGUAGUACACUUGUACGUACUCAAUAGAUAGGGCACACAGUGACUGUUGGCUAAAAUACGAGUAUCACAUGUGAAGUCAGAGUCCUUGAAACUUGAGAAUAAAUUUGGUAUAAGAUGCUUCAUUUAACUAAAAGACGGAUGCCCCAAUCGACGGUGCCACAACAAUAUUUGUUUUUGUUUGCUAUCAGAGGGAUGCAUCACACUGUUAGUCAUGCCGAG